RNAcentral lists this ribosomal RNA (227 nucleotides) under uncultured Acanthamoeba. RNAcentral's name for it is "partial 18S ribosomal RNA". It matches the Rfam family "Eukaryotic small subunit ribosomal RNA", at positions 97 to 279 of the family's 1831-position model. The record is from RNAcentral. Lineage: Eukaryota; Discosea; Longamoebia; Acanthamoebidae.
CUCAUUAAAUCAGUUAUAGUUAUUUGAUGGUCUCUUUUGUCUUUUUUUACCUACUUGGAUAACCGUGGUAAUUCUAGAGCUAAUACAUGCGCAAGGUCCCGAGCACGGGGGGCAGGGCUUCACGGCCCUGUCCUCGCAUGCGCAGAGGGAUGCAUUUUAUUAGGUUAAACAACCAGCAUCUUUUCAUUUCUGGUGAUUCAUAGUAACCCUUUCGGAUCGCAUUCAUG